GACGAACGCUGGCGGCGUGCUUAACACAUGCAAGUCGAACGGAAAGGCCCUGCUUUUGUGGGGUGCUCGAGUGGCGAACGGGUGAGUAACACGUGAGUAACCUGCCCUUGACUUUGGGAUAACUUCAGGAAACUGGGGCUAAUACCGGAUAGGAGCUCCUGCUGCAUGGUGGGGGUUGAAAAGUUUCGGCGGUUGGGGAUGGCCUCGCGGCUUAGCAGCUUGUUGGUGGGGUAGUGGCUUACCAAGGCUUUGCCGGGUAGCCGGCCUGAGAGGGUGACCGGCCACAUUGGGACUGAGAUACGGCCCAGACUCCUACGGGAGGCAGCAGUGGGGAAUAUUGCACAAUGGGCGGAAGCCUGAUGCAGCAACGCCGCGUGCGGGAUGACGGCCUUCGGGUUGUAAACCGCUUUCGCCUGUGACGAAGCGUGAGUGACGGUAAUGGGUAAAGAAGCACCGGCUAACUACGUG
Molecule: ribosomal RNA, 468 nt
Filed under: uncultured bacterium
Lineage: Bacteria
Description: partial 16S ribosomal RNA
Rfam family: Bacterial small subunit ribosomal RNA
Source: RNAcentral